GAGUGAAGCGGCAAUAGCUCAAAUUUGAAAUCUGGCGCCUUCGGUGUCCGAGUUGUAAUUUGAAGAAGGUAUCUUUGGUUUUGGCUCUUGUCUAUGUUCCUUGGAACAGGACGUCACAGAGGGUGAGAAUCCCGUGCGAUGAGAUGCCCAAUUCCAUGUAAAGUUCCUUCGACGAGUCGAGUUGUUUGGGAAUGCAGCUCUAAGUGGGUGGUAAAUUCCAUCUAAAGCUAAAUAUUGGCGAGAGACCGAUAGCGAACAAGUACUGUGAAGGAAAGAUGAAAAGAACUUUGAAAAGAGAGUGAAAAAGUACGUGAAAUUGUUGAAAGGGAAGGGCUUGAGAUUAGACUUGGAAUUUUCCAGUAAUGGAGCUUUCCGGGCCAGCAUCAGUUUGGAUGGCAGGAUAAUUGCGUAGGAAAGUAGCACUACUUCGGUGGUGUAUUAUAGACUGCGUCGAUACUGCCUAUCUAGACUGAGGACCGCGUCUUUGACUAGGAUGCUGGCGUAAUGAUCUUAAGCCGCCCGUCUUG
RNAcentral lists this ribosomal RNA (527 nucleotides) under Yamadazyma jaroonii. Its description in RNAcentral is "eukaryotic LSU rRNA". It matches the Rfam family "Eukaryotic large subunit ribosomal RNA", at positions 91 to 656 of the family's 3401-position model. Lineage: Eukaryota; Fungi; Ascomycota; Pichiomycetes; Serinales; Debaryomycetaceae. The record is from RNAcentral.